This is a long non-coding RNA of Gopherus evgoodei (Goodes thornscrub tortoise), 1845 nucleotides long. RefSeq lists it as uncharacterized. Lineage: Eukaryota; Metazoa; Chordata; Testudines; Testudinidae. The record is from RefSeq and is a predicted model, not a curated record. The transcript has 3 exons.
AGAUGCAGAAAGGAAGCCAAGGCUGAGAGAUGUGUGGUGAGACUUGCCUGAUGUAUGAUGAUGCAGAAACCUCAGGUCAGUAGCGAGGGUGGUCACUGUGCAUCAGUCUUUGUGCCUAUACUUCUCUGGUUUGCCAACAGAAGUUCAAAUUACAAUAGAAACCUACCCACUGAAGAUCAUAAAAUACUUAGUACCAAGUCUUUGAACUCUAGGAAUCUAGGACCACUUCGAGAUAGUUUGGUCUUUAUAUAGUCUGCCAAGCAAUGUACUUUGAGCUUCAGGUACCAUGUCCAAGGUGUUUAAGAUGUUCCAGCCAAAGACCUUCCCAGAAUUAGACACUGUUAAAGUUUCACACUGGUUUGUCCAAGAUGUGCAUAUUAUGUACAGUAUGGAUACAUGGAGUCAGUUAUCUCAAAGAAUCACAAUUUAUGUGGUGCUUAAACAUAUCUUUUUAAAAAUGAUGCAAAUAUACAUUUUCUAAUAUUGCAAAGAUGAUUAGUCUGUUACUGGAAAAGUAUACAUUUUAUACAGGUUGCUCAUUUCUUUUAUAACUGUAGUGUUUAGAACAGCCCUAACUGUUUUGUAAUGACACUUGUUCUGAGCUGAUCUCACACACUGAAGAUUUUUGAUCUUGGUAAUUAUACUUUUCUAUCAGUGUGCAUAGUACACAGUUGAGAACUGCAGCAUUUUUAAUAUAUAUAUAUAUAUAUAUUUUUAUAGAAUCAUAGACACCAUGUCUGGUUGCAAAUGUAACAACAAUUUAUUUCUUAUAAGUUCAAGGACUAAACAGUACCUAUAGGCAUCAUGGUACCAUGUAGAUUCAGGAAUGACCUAAGGGCUCCCACAGCCUACGUCGGUGCAAAGCAGGCAUGCAACAGAACACUGAAUUUCCUCUGUUGGUAAUUUAGGUUUGGAGGUAAUUGUUUCAGGAUGAAGCCAUCAAAGUUGAUUUAAGAAAUAUUCUAUUUUACCUGUGACAUUCAGAAAACUUUCUACUGCUUCUGCCCUCAUCCAUUUGUCUCCCCAUAUAAGUAAUUAAAAUUUCUGGAUGAAAUCUAAUGGUGAUGCAAGUUGUUUGUGUUCGUUACUGUUUUUUGUACACCAUGAUUUCUGCAUGGCAAGCUUCUGGAAACAUUGCUAUGUAAUCUGACAAUAGUGAAAUUAAACUACCGUAGAGGCUUUUUACACAGAGUAGCUCUGCUUGCUUAAGGAAAAGUUAGAACUGGAUCCAUAUUACAUCCAGAGUGGCAGUUAGGAUGUCUGUGUCACCACCUCCAGAAUCUAAGGCUUGUCUGCACAGGGAAAAUAAUCAGAAUAGUGUCCUGAAUAGCUCCCUGUGCUGAAACUCUCAGUCCAGAAUAACUCUGCCCACAAAGGGAAAUGUUCAGGAAUAGCUGCUAUGCUUUAAAUUCACACCAUCACUUAAUUCAAAAUAAUUUUCAAGUGUAGACAAGCCUUUGUUUUCUUGUUUAAUGAGUAGGUUAAGUUCAGGCUCUCUUUGAUUUUCCAUAGGGGAUUGAUGUUAACGACCCAUGUAAACUUUUCAUGAUGAAAGAAGUUAAAUUUUCUUUUUUCUCCUGAAUUUGAAGUGCUUCACACAAAUGGAUACCCCUGUAUUUACUUUCCUCAUCCAGAACACAAGAGUCUGACAGUGAAGAAGAAGAACCAGAAUGAAGUCCAAAGAAGGCAUAGGAAGACCACCCCUAGAAGGAGAGCAUGGAAAGAGUGGGACUGUUUAGAGAAAUGUCAGAAAUAGCAUAAGCCCUUGCCUCUAUUCAAGGAGAGAACAGACCAGGCAUUGAGGAAAGAAGAAAAUUUGCACAGAAGCUGAGAAUAAGAGGGACC